This is a long non-coding RNA of Sphaeramia orbicularis (orbiculate cardinalfish), 771 nucleotides long. RefSeq lists it as uncharacterized. The record is from RefSeq and is a predicted model, not a curated record. The transcript is spliced from 2 exons. NCBI's taxonomy places the organism in Eukaryota, Metazoa, Chordata, Actinopteri, Kurtiformes, Apogonidae.
AUAAAUUUACAACCAAGUACUGUAACCUUAACUGAAGUUGACUCCCCCUCGGUCUCUCCACACGGCCCUCCAUGUAAUAGUAAACCGAUGUCACUAACACACAGUAGGAAUCUUUCACGGCAAACCCAAAAAUGGUAUCGCUUUUCUCUGAAUGUACAGGAGUUGAACCAGUUAAAAACCUGACAAUAUUAUGCAGAGUUUGCUGUUUCAUAUUUUGAUGAUACAACAUUUAGAGAAGUUACUAUAACUUACGAUGUAGUCAUUUUGUUCAGCCCCUGUCAUUCAAAUGCAUAUUGAUCUAUCAGGUCAGAUGUUUUUCUUAAACUGUCUUGUCAUUUUUUUGUUUUCUACCACCGUGUGAGAAUUCAUCUUUCAUCACUAGUGAAUUAAUUAAAGAGAUUUUUCUCUUUCUGAUGUUACAGUUAUAUUUAAUUAUCCGAAUCUAAAGUGCUGCUUCUUCUAAAACACAAUUUGUCCUUCACAUCUUUGUCCUGUGUCUGAAAUAAUAACAGGUGAUUAACAGUUGUUAUAUCUGGGUUGUAUCUGGAAUUUAUUUAACAGGAUAAUAAGGCCAACAUUUAAAGUUAAUAAAGAAGGAAAAAUACUGCAACAAUAUGUUAAAAUACAAACAAUGAAAUAUUACAAUAGCACAAUAUCAUGAUAUAAAAUGUUAAUAUGGUGACAUUAACCUGAUAAUAAUGCAGUAAUAUAGAUUGCUGUUGUUACUAGCUACACUUCUGUAUAUUAUGUUAUAUCAGAGUUUUCUAAAUU